AUACCAACACCACCAAUACCAAUACCAACACUAAUACCAAUACUAAUGUCACCAACACCAAUAUCAACACAACCAUCAACAUCAAUACCAAUACCAAUGCCACUGAUAGCAAUACCAACACCACCACCAACAUCACCAACACCACCGCCAAUACCAACAACACCAUCAAUACCACCACCACCACACCAUCCAAUAAUACGACGACAGACAACAGAAUUCUG
RNAcentral lists this long non-coding RNA (221 nucleotides) under Capsicum annuum. RNAcentral describes it as "long non-coding RNA (CANN_LNC010861)". The record is from RNAcentral. Lineage: Eukaryota; Viridiplantae; Streptophyta; Magnoliopsida; Solanales; Solanaceae.